RNAcentral lists this unclassified non-coding RNA (26 nucleotides) under Mus musculus (house mouse). RNAcentral describes it as "oocyte_clustered_small_RNA11372". The record is from RNAcentral. Lineage: Eukaryota; Metazoa; Chordata; Mammalia; Rodentia; Muridae.
UGUUGAGAGCGAUGCUAAGAUGAUGG